Pungitius pungitius (ninespine stickleback) is the source of this 596-nucleotide long non-coding RNA. RefSeq lists it as uncharacterized. NCBI's taxonomy places the organism in Eukaryota, Metazoa, Chordata, Actinopteri, Perciformes, Gasterosteidae. The record is from RefSeq and is a predicted model, not a curated record. The transcript is spliced from 2 exons.
UUACAUUAAUUUUUAAGUUUCAUCAUGCUGUAUUUUUUGUAUUAAGUUGUAUUUAUUUGUAUGUUUUUUUAUAAUAGUAUUUCAGUAAUAAUACACUUUCAAUCCUGGAAGACAGCUCCAGAAACCUGCUCAACCUCCAGCUUGGUCCAGAUCCAGGCCUGACACCUCCAUCCUUCAGUCUUCAAGAAGUCUGCAGUCUUCCUGAACCGCCAUCUCUGGUCCGUGCCGUUGACCUGAAACCCACCUCCAUUUGGCUUAACAUCUACAAUCUUCCGCUCCUGGCCUGAGCCUUCACCCAACACCUCCAUCCUUCAGUCUUCAAGCAGUCUGCAGUCUUCCUGAACCGCCAUCUCUGGUCCGUGCCGUUGACCUGAAACCCACCGCCAAGAGAUCGUCCCUUCUACGACCGUCGGUCAACCUGCUGGACUUCGCCUCACCACACUUCGGGCCCCCUGACACGCCCGUAUCUCUCGUGGGUCAAGGAUUCUGUGAAGGGCCCACUCCUGGAACCAGAAAGUCGUGGACUACUGGUGUUUUUCCGUUUUGUGGUUUUUGUUAUCUGACUCAACAAAAUAAACCUUUUUGUUUUACCCCAA